RNAcentral lists this long non-coding RNA (269 nucleotides) under Bos taurus (domestic cattle). RNAcentral's name for it is "long non-coding RNA NONBTAT008964". Lineage: Eukaryota; Metazoa; Chordata; Mammalia; Artiodactyla; Bovidae. The record is from RNAcentral.
UCAAAAAAAUCUUUCUAUCUGAGUGUUAAGUGUUACAUUACUCAGCACAUUAGCCAUUCUUCAGCAGUCAGAGACACUGAAGGAUUUGGGAAGGGGUGUUGGCUUUCAUUACACAGGAGAAUAUGACUAAGAUGAAAAGUACUUUGGGAAAAUGCAGUUGAGAAGUGUCUAACGGCUGGAUCCUACCAGUGAAGAUUAUAGCCAUGUAGAAAACUUUAAACCAAGUAGUAGAUAACAGUUACUCUUUUUUAUCUGAUUCCACCAGGACC